RNAcentral lists this ribosomal RNA (752 nucleotides) under uncultured Glomus. Its description in RNAcentral is "SSU rRNA". It matches the Rfam family "Eukaryotic small subunit ribosomal RNA", at positions 338 to 1092 of the family's 1831-position model. Lineage: Eukaryota; Fungi; Glomeromycota; Glomeromycetes; Glomerales; Glomeraceae. The record is from RNAcentral.
GGCCUACCAUGGUGGUAACGGGUAACGGGGUGUUAGGGCACGACACCGGAGAGGGAGCCUGAGGAACGGCUACCACAUCCAAGGAUGGCAGCAGGCGCGCAAAUUACCCAAUCCCGACACGGGGAGGUAGUGACAAUAAAUAACAAUACGGGGUUCUUUCGGAUCUCGUAAUUGGAAUGAGUACAAUUUAAAUCUCUUAACGAGGAACAAUUGGAGGGCAAGUCUGGUGCCAGCAGCCGCGGUAAUUCCAGCUCCAAUAGCGUAUAUUAAAGUUGUUGCAGUUAAAAAGCUCGUAGUUGAAUUUCGGGAUCAAUUUAUUGGUCGUGCUAUUGUACGUACUGGUAUUAUUGAUUCCUACCUUCUGACGAACCAUGAUGUCAUUAAUUUGGUGUCAUGGGGAAUCAGGACUGUUACUUUGAAAAAAUUAGAGUGUUUAAAGCAGGCUCACGCUUGAAUACAUUAGCAUGGAAUAACGAAAUAGGACGUUUGAUUCUAUUUUGUUGGUUUCUAGGAUCGACGUAAUGAUUAAUAGGGAUAGUUGGGGGCAUUAGUAUUCAAUUGUCAGAGGUGAAAUUCUUGGAUUUAUUGAAGACUAACUACUGCGAAAGCAUUUGCCAAGGAUGUUUUCAUUAAUCAAGAACGAAAGUUAGGGGAUCGAAGACGAUCAGAUACCGUCGUAGUCUUAACCAUAAACUAUGCCGACUAGGGAUCGGAUGAUGUUAAUUUUUUAAUGACUCAUUCGGCGCCUUACG